GCAAGUCGAGGGGCAGCAUUUCAGUUUGCUUGCAAACUGGAGAUGGCGACCGGCGCACGGGUGAGUAACACGUAUCCAACCUGCCGAUAACUCGGGGAUAGCCUUUCGAAAGAAAGAUUAAUACCCGAUGGUAUAAUUAGACCGCAUGGUCUUGUUAUUAAAGAAUUUCGGUUAUCGAUGGGGAUGCGUUCCAUUAGGCAGUUGGUGAGGUAACGGCUCACCAAACCUUCGAUGGAUAGGGGUUCUGAGAGGAAGGUCCCCCACAUUGGAACUGAGACACGGUCCAAACUCCUACGGGAGGCAGCAGUGAGGAAUAUUGGUCAAUGGGCGCAGGCCUGAACCAGCCAAGUAGCGUGAAGGAUGACUGCCCUAUGGGUUGUAAACUUCUUUUAUAUGGGAAUAAAGUUUUCCACGUGUGGAAUUUUGUAUGUACCAUAUGAAUAAGGAUCGGCUAACUCCGUGCCAGCAGCCGCGGUAAUACGGAGGAUCCGAGCGUUAUCCGGAUUUAUUGGGUUUAAAGGGAGCGUAGGUGGACAGUUAAGUCAGUUGUGAAAGUUUGCGGCUCAACCGUAAAAUUGCAGUUGAUACUAGCUGUCUUGAGUACAGUAGAGGUGGGCGGAAUUCGUGGUGUAGCGGUGAAAUGCUUAGAUAUCACGAAGAACUCCGAUUGCGAAGGCAGCUCACUGGACUGCAACUGACACUGAUGCUCGAAAGUGUGGGUAUCAAACAGGAUUAGAUACCCUGGUAGUCCACACAGUAAACGAUGAAUACUCGCUGUUUGCGAUAUAC
RNAcentral lists this ribosomal RNA (789 nucleotides) under uncultured bacterium. RNAcentral's name for it is "bacterial SSU rRNA". It matches the Rfam family "Bacterial small subunit ribosomal RNA", at positions 57 to 834 of the family's 1533-position model. The record is from RNAcentral.